This 780-nucleotide long non-coding RNA is filed under the name Citrus sinensis (sweet orange). RNAcentral describes it as "long non-coding RNA (CSIN_LNC005718)". The record is from RNAcentral. Lineage: Eukaryota; Viridiplantae; Streptophyta; Magnoliopsida; Sapindales; Rutaceae.
GGAUUUUAAAAGUUUUGGUCUCCACACAAAGGUACUUUCUCUUUUUUGUUUAAUCAUACUUGUGAAAGAAAAUGAUAGAUUGUUUGAUCGUGGAUGGUCUACAUGUGCUGUUUUUUUUUUCUUUGUCUAAUUUAUUCAUGUUUGAGUAGCAGAUAUUAACAGUAUGGAUGAACAGUAAAGUUAUCUUUAGGGAUUAGAUUUUAUGAAGGAGUUUGUGAUGUCUAUAAUUACAUAUUUUAAAGAAGGUACAAAUACCAAACUAUUUUAGCAUAUGCUCAACACUAAAUUAAUACAAAUGCUCACCACCGGAGCAAUCCAUUUGUUGUGCUUUUGUGCUUGGUCUCUGACAUUUCAUGUCCAUCAAGAUUAUUCGAUCUAUUGUGCUAUGUGCUUAAUAAAUUGAUAUUUUGUUAAUAUUAUUCAGUUAGGAUAAUAAUUUCACUUUUUCUCAAAUUAGGACAUAGGUAAUCAAAUUGGAUCCCAUGUUGCUUGGCCUAAAUAAUUUUUCAUCUUGAAUGAUGUGAGGUACAUAUCUAUAAUUAUUGUUUGUCUUUGAUAUGUCAUAAAUUAAUAAUAAUAAUAUUUUUUAUUAUUCUAGUUAUAUAAAGUAAUCCAUUAAGAAUGUGUAGGAAUACAAAGUUCCAACAAGAAUAGAUGUUGUUUGCAAGUAUGCUCGCGAGUGUUGACUAAAGCAUUAUUGAUUGAAAUUUAUCCUGGGAUCUUUGAUAAUGAACAAGCUUAAUUAUAUUUAUCAAUUGACGACAUCGUACAAUUCUAUAG